AUUGAACGCUGGCGGCAGGCUUAACACAUGCAAGUCGAGCGGGGUGAUGGUGCUUGCACUAUCACUUAGCGGCGGACGGGUGAGUAAUGCUUAGGAAUCUGCCUAUUAGUGGGGGACAACAUCUCGAAAGGGAUGCUAAUACCGCAUACGUCCUACGGGAGAAAGCAGGGGAUCACUUGUGACCUUGCGCUAAUAGAUGAGCCUAAGUCGGAUUAGCUAGUUGGGGGGGUAAAGGCCUACCAAGGCGACGAUCUGUAGCGGGUCUGAGAGGAUGAUCGGCCAAACUGGGACGGAGACACGGCCCAGACUCCUACGGGAGGCAGCAGUGGGGAAUAUUGGACAAUGGGGGGAACCCUGAUCCAGCCAUGCCGCGUGUGUGAAGAAGGCCUUAUGGUUGUAAAGCACUUUAAGCGAGGAGGAGGCUCUUUUGGUUAAUACCCAAGAUGAGUGGACGUUACUCGCAGAAUAAGCACCGGCUAACUCUGUGCCAGCCGCCGCCGUAA
RNAcentral lists this ribosomal RNA (503 nucleotides) under uncultured bacterium. Its description in RNAcentral is "partial 16S ribosomal RNA". It matches the Rfam family "Bacterial small subunit ribosomal RNA", at positions 30 to 523 of the family's 1533-position model. The record is from RNAcentral.